ACAUGGCUAUGAUUGGUUAUAUGAGUUUGUGAAAUUACAAACCUAAUUUCUGGGUGGUGUCAAAGAUGGGAUUACCUGAAACGGAUUCCCACGUUGCUUUGUGAUUUGGUGAUUAUGGUUCUUGACUUCUCUAAGAGAGGAAUAAAAGUGCCACACUCACUAAUGACCAAAUUGGUCAGUUCCACUCAUAUGCCCCCUAUAGCCUCUUUACCAUCUAGCCUUUCCAGAGUUAACCUAUUGUAAAAUUAGAUUGUAAAAAUGGACAGAGUGGCCACCACUCUGGGAUAAGGGUGAAGGACUCAUGGUGUCAUCCCCACUAAAUACUCCAGUGGAAAUUAUCACUUAAUUAUUUGUGAUAUCACCCAGCUCCCCAAAGAGCUGGCCUUCCUUUUCAGCCCCAGUUAUCUUUUGGAAGUGUAACUCUUUCAGUUUGAUUGUCCUGGGAACACAUGCAGUUUUCUCUUGAUGGGGAAACCCCUCUCUGAAGGUCUGCGUUUUAAGUGGCAGAGAUGCAAAAACAGCCUUCUAGACAGAGUUUCUAAUUGAAUUCUCCUCUAUACCGUUAUCCAUAAACUGAGUAAUGCAUCCAAGGAAGAAGAGAGGAUGAGAGAGGUCAGGAAGUUUAGAUUCCAGUAAAAUUUAAAUAGCCACUGAAUUUGCCAUAGCAAAACAUGAGCUAUGAUUCUGUUAGUACACAGGAAAAGUCAAUUAGGUGAACUGAUUUUUUAUGGUGUUGGGAAUAUUAUAAUUCAGGGAUUCUUAACCUAUAGCUUAACCUAUAGGCAAUUUAAGACUAGAUUUCAGGGGUAGGGCAGUGAAACUUCUAAAAUUGCUGUAACAUUUUUUAUUAAGUCAUAGGCAGUUUCCUAGGGAGAGGCUUUUAUCAAAUUCUCAGAAGGGUCCACUGCCAUAAAAGAUUAAGGAACCACUGCAUUCUAUCAUCAUAAUUUUUUGUCUUCUUUCAAAAGUUGAUAUUCUGGUUUUUUUUAUGCAGAAAAGACAAAAGCAUGUACAACUCUGAUAUUUCAUGAUCUUUAAUUUCUUCCCCCUCCUGGAUGUCCUAUAAUAAAUGUACAGGAAAGAAAUAUAAAACGCUAUCCAAACUCAGUUAAUAGCUCUGAGAAAUGCACACUCAGAGUGCUUUAAAAUCAGGUUACAAAUAUCAUUUUCAAUUUGCUGGGGAGAAAAUAGGAAGAGUCCCUUGGAAUACAGAAUAAAUUCAUUCUAUGUACAUUAUCAGUGUUGGUUCAUUAUAUUCUCAUUGGCCCACAACUCAACACAUCUUUAAGAAGCAAAAGUGCAUACACUCUCCCUUACUGACAAUAUUUAGGGGAAGACCACAUACUUUGUGAACUACUGUGAGUUGAGUUCUUGUAGUCAAAGCAGUAGUAGGUGGAGCUUCAUUCUCUGGUAUUAAAAUCCUAAAAGUGAGUAGUGUUAUUAAUUGGGGGCACUUUUGAGAUUUGAUUAAGAAAUUUACUGCUCUUGUGGGUUGUUUCCUCCCUUGUGGGAUGUUCUGGAUGAAUGUCAAGGUCUAGCCCCGGCAGAUUCCAGAAAGCUUGUCCAUCUAAAUUUGCUGUUAAGCCAUGGGAACUUUUCUAUUGCAGUCUUUGGGUCAUGGUAACGUGUAAAGCCUAGAGUUUGUUGAAGGGCACUUUUCUCUCUCUAAAAUUCUCCAUUCCUCACAACUGGUUUUUAUUAUUCCGUGACAUGCUGGGAGUGUUGCUAUGACUGUUUGAGAAGUAUGGGCAGAUAUAUUGCUGGCUGGCUUCUUACAGGAAGAGUUUCCCAUGAUGAACGGGAGCAGUGAUAGAUCACACCUACUAGAGCUGAAGUGUGGAUUGAGCCAGGACUUGAAGAGUAAAUGGAAAAUGAAAAAAAAAAAAAAAAGGCUUGGGGGAGGGUGGUUUCUUUUAUUUCUCACCUUAUUCUACUGGGCUGUUGUCUUUCCCUAAGAUCAUGGCAAAAAGUUUCAGAGAUUAUGUACAACAACUGUAUUGGAACCCUGCAACCAUUACAAAAUUGAAUUAGAAGUAAUUGGUUUUAUGCUACUCUGAGCACCCACCAUAGCUUAAACACAUACACACAUGCGUGCACGCAGGCACACACACACACAAACACACACACACGGGUGAUAAUGAAAAAUACUUUGGUGGCCUCAGGAAAUGAUAGAAUUUUCUCCCAUGUUUAGCUCCCACUCUCCUGAGGAACAGGUUGAUAGCUGUGACUAUUCUUCUUUGAUACCACACCAAAACUUAACAAGUUUCUCAAAAGUUAGUUGUGUGAUACCUGAAACAAUAUCAAUGAAUUUUUUAACUCCUUACAUUAAAAUACAUUGGUAUAUCUUUCACUAUGAAUAGGUCUUUUACCCAUCAUCAUUUUGUAACAUCACUCAUUGGUCAUUUGAAAAAUAUUGGUUCACUGAGUUAUGUUCAUUGAGUUAUGUGACAUACUUUGUUAGACAAUAUCAACGAUUUAUGUUCAUUAAUAUCACCAUUGAUCUCAUCAGAAAAGCACAAAUGUCAGUUAUUUAUAUUCACACAUCUUCACUUAACUACAUUCCUUAGUAAACAGCUUGCGGGGGGUUGAUAUUUGUUAAUGAACUGUCAAUAAACACAUGUUCUCUCGACUUCUUAAAAAAAGACUAUAUUGGGGUUGAGUGUGCUGGUUUCCAAUUCCUGUUCACGCCAUGGAGACAGAGAGAGGAGUCUUGGCUGCGGAUCUGGCCUCAGAGCUGGGCACGGCUUGCGAUCACGUGGUGGAAGCACAGCUUUUGUGCAGGGAGGAAAGUGGCAGAUUUUGAUAGAGAGCGUGCCAGCAGUUAUUAGGAAGAAAUCGGGAAGUGUUUGGAAACAGGGCUGCUAGCAUUCCCAACAAAGCUGGAGAAGUCUCUCCAAAGAACAAAAGGCAAGCACACGUUCAGGGUGAG
This 2929-nucleotide long non-coding RNA is filed under the name Homo sapiens (human). RNAcentral describes it as "HSALNT0330473". Lineage: Eukaryota; Metazoa; Chordata; Mammalia; Primates; Hominidae. The record is from RNAcentral.